Long non-coding RNA from Silurus meridionalis, 1135 nucleotides. RefSeq lists it as uncharacterized. The record is from RefSeq and is a predicted model, not a curated record. Lineage: Eukaryota; Metazoa; Chordata; Actinopteri; Siluriformes; Siluridae. The transcript has 4 exons.
UUUUCUUUAGUCUCCUGAUAUUUCAUUUAUUUUUAAUCUUUUGAACUUAUAUUUUCACUUAAAUUUAUUUUGUAUAAUGUUAUUUUACUUAUCUGUGUGGUUAAUCGUGUCAUCUUAUACUUUUGAGUAAUAAUCUUAUCUUUAAGUGUGUGGAAGUAAGAGCACAUGGUGAUAAAUGUACAACGUGUGUAUUUUAGAAUGAAAAGGGCAUUUCCAUCUAAAGAGGCUGCUUAUUUGUUUCAUGUGUCAGAAAUAAAAAUGCUCCUGGAGAAGAAUCAAAGCCUGCUGUCCUGUAUCUGAUUCAGUAAAGUCACAACGCAGAGUCCAGUUAUUCCACCGGUGUCGCCGGCUGCAUGUAAAGUUUGGCGUCGCGAGUCACCGGUUACACCUCUGCAGGUAACAGUCACACACACAUUCAUAGAGGAAGCAGAUUCUUCUGACUAAUAGCUCACCAGCCUUCCUCCUUAUAUUUGCCUGUAUUACCAUUUCCUUUUUCCACUAUUUUUUACUCAUGUGAGCCCGGUCCUGCACAAGCCGUCACACCAAAGCCAGGAUAAGCCAGAGCUCGCUUUCCAGCAGUCUGACUUUGACCUUGAGCCAGUCUUAACCACAGUCGAGAAUUCCAGUGUGUCUCCUGUGAUUGUGGAGCAUCUGGCUUCAGCAGAAACACCAGCAGAUGAGAUCGAAGCGCAGGAAGCCGAGCCGCCGAAGAACGAACCCGAGCCCAGCUCUGAGGAUGAAAGCAACGAUGGGGUCCUUUCACCUGUCGAAGAGCCCAACAACAAUACCAUGCACACUGAGACCUACUUCUUCUGACUCGCACACUUCAUCAUUUUUUUCACUACUUUUCAUGUCUGCUUUUGCUCGUUCCUUCCUCAGAGUCAGAGAUGGAGAAUAAGAUUAUACAAUAUAGUAGAGACUUUCUUUUGAGCAUCCAGUUCAUGCCUGAUUGUAUGCAGAAGCCAGAGGGGCUUCCAUCAGUACCUGAUGUGGUGCUACACAAGCAACCGAAUGCAAUUUGGAGGCGCCGUCACCCUGCAAGUUCCUCUUGAAUGUGCCUAUGAAUGAAGAGGUGGAGUUGAAGAAGGCUGAGGAUGCCUGGAAGCCUUCCAUGAAAAGGAGGAAUUCCACAGAG